This 477-nucleotide ribosomal RNA is filed under the name uncultured bacterium. RNAcentral's name for it is "partial 16S ribosomal RNA". It matches the Rfam family "Bacterial small subunit ribosomal RNA", at positions 28 to 507 of the family's 1533-position model. The record is from RNAcentral.
GAUUAACGCUGGCGGCGUGCAUAACACAUGCAAGUCGAACGAUGAAACUUAACUGAUUUCUUCGGAAUGAUUUUAAGUGGCUUAGUGGCGGACGGGUGAGUAACGCGUGAGUAACCUGCCUUGGAGAAGGGGAUAGCCAUUGGAAACGAAGAAUAAUACCCUAUGAUAUGAUAAUAUCUCAUGAUAUUAUCAUCAAAGAUUUAUCGCUCUAAGAUGGACUUGCGUCUGAUUAGUUAGUUGGUGAGGUAACCGCUCACCAAGGCAGCGAUCAGUAGCCGGCUUGAGGGAGUGUACGGCCACAUUGGGACUGAGACACGGCCCAGACUCCUACGGGAGGCAGCAGUGGGGAAUUUGGAACAAUGGGGGAAACCCGGAGGCAGCGACACCGUGUGAUUUAGAAAUCCGUCGGGUUGUAAAAAUCUUUUGUAUGGGAAGAAAAUGACAGUACCAUACGAAUAAGGACCGGCUAAUUACGUG